RNAcentral lists this ribosomal RNA (440 nucleotides) under uncultured bacterium. RNAcentral's name for it is "partial 16S ribosomal RNA". It matches the Rfam family "Bacterial small subunit ribosomal RNA", at positions 338 to 795 of the family's 1533-position model. The record is from RNAcentral.
CCUACGGGUGGCAGCAGUGGGGAAUAUUGCACAAUGGCGGAAACGCUGAUGCAGCGACGCCGCGUGAGUGAAGAAGUAAUUCGUUAUGUAAAGCUCUAUCAGCAGGGAAGUAAAUGACUGUACCUGAGUAAGAUGCCAUGUCUACCUACGUGCCACCAGCCGCGGUAAUACGGCGGGGGCAAGCGUUAUCCGGAUUUACUGGGUGUAAAGGGAGCGUAGGCGGCAGUGCAAGUCCGGAGUGAAAGGCGGGGGCUCAACCCCAGGACUGCUCUGGAAACUGUACGGCUGGAGUGUGGGGGAGGUAGGUGGAAUGCCUGGUGUAGCGGUGAAAUGCGUAGAUAUUAGGAGGAACUCCGGUGGCGAAGGCAGCUUACUGAGCUGUAACUGACGGUGAGGCUCGAAAGCGUGGGGAGCAAACAGGAUUAGAUACCCGUGUAGUC